AUACGGAGGGUGCAAGCGUUAAUCGGAAUUACUGGGCGUAAAGCGUACGUAGGCGGUUCGUUAAGUUAGAUGUGAAAGCCCCGGGCUUAACCUGGGAACUGCAUUUAAAACUGGCGAACUAGAGUUGAGUAGAGGGGAGUGGAAUUUCAGGUGUAGCGGUGAAAUGCGUAGAGAUCUGAAGGAACACCAGUGGCGAAGGCGGCUCCCUGGACUCGAACUGACGCUGAGGUACGAAAGCGUGGGUAGCAAACGGGAUUAGAUACCCUAGUAGUCC
RNAcentral lists this ribosomal RNA (274 nucleotides) under uncultured bacterium. RNAcentral's name for it is "partial 16S ribosomal RNA". It matches the Rfam family "Bacterial small subunit ribosomal RNA", at positions 523 to 796 of the family's 1533-position model. The record is from RNAcentral.